AGUCGUAACAAGGUAUCCGUAGGUGAACCUGCGGAUGGAUCAUUACCAAAGAUUUUAAUCAAAGUCUUGUGAACUGUUUUGAACUACACUGUUGGGGUGCUAAAUUGAGCGUUGCUUUGCAGUUUCGCUUGGUUGACCACCUCGACGGUACACAUACACGUAUAUACACCUAAACUGACGUCUACUUUAGUAGUAAAUCAAACUAAAGACAACUUUUAGCAACGGAUCUCUUGGCUCUC
RNAcentral lists this unclassified non-coding RNA (239 nucleotides) under fungal sp. RNAcentral describes it as "partial internal transcribed spacer region". The stretch from base 1 to 45 matches the Rfam family "Eukaryotic small subunit ribosomal RNA", at positions 1787 to 1831 of the family's 1831-position model. Lineage: Eukaryota; Fungi. The record is from RNAcentral.